GUGAGGAAUAUUGGUCAAUGGGCGAGAGCCUGAACCAGCCAAGUCGCGUGAAGGAUGAAGGAUCUAUGGUUCGUAAACUUCUUUUAUAUGGGAAUAAAGUGCAGGACGUGUCCUGUUUUGUAUGUACCGUAUGAAUAAGGAUCGGCUAACUCCGUGCCAGCAGCCGCGGUAAUACGGAGGAUCCGAGCGUUAUCCGGAUUUAUUGGGUUUAAAGGGUGCGUAGGUGGCUUUUUAAGUCAGCGGUGAAAGUUUGUGGCUCAACCAUAAAAUUGCCGUUGAAACUGGGGGGCUUGAGUAUAUUUGAGGUAGGCGGAAUGCGUGGUGUAGCGGUGAAAUGCAUAGAUAUCACGCAGAACUCCAAUUGCGAAGGCAGCUUACUAAACUAUAACUGACACUGAAGCACGAAAGCGUGGGGAUCAAACAGGAUUAGAAACCCCAGUAGUCC
This 445-nucleotide ribosomal RNA is filed under the name uncultured bacterium. Its description in RNAcentral is "bacterial SSU rRNA". It matches the Rfam family "Bacterial small subunit ribosomal RNA", at positions 354 to 796 of the family's 1533-position model. The record is from RNAcentral.